GUCAACUAGCCUGAGUGCAGUUCACUGGUAGCAUGCUGAACCUCUCAGAUCUACACCUGGUAUGCCAGUAUAUUAGCUCUAGAAGCCCACUGGAUGACGGUAGAUAUCAAGUUGGAGGCUGUGUGUUUACGUUGGUGAUUGUCCCUUCAAGAUUCUAGUAUCGUCUCCAAAGUGGUGGUGGUGUUUUGCUCGUCAGAAAGAAGGACAAGUCUCUCUUGACACAGGUGUUUGCCAGAUGACUUGUUAAGGAGGUUAAACAUGUGCUGGCUUACCCCGGCAACGUUAUACAUCACCUUUCAAAAUAAAGGCUCACCACAUGCUGA
Cherax quadricarinatus is the source of this 323-nucleotide long non-coding RNA. RefSeq lists it as uncharacterized. The record is from RefSeq and is a predicted model, not a curated record. Lineage: Eukaryota; Metazoa; Arthropoda; Malacostraca; Decapoda; Parastacidae.